RNAcentral lists this ribosomal RNA (253 nucleotides) under uncultured bacterium. RNAcentral describes it as "partial 16S ribosomal RNA". It matches the Rfam family "Bacterial small subunit ribosomal RNA", at positions 524 to 776 of the family's 1533-position model. The record is from RNAcentral.
UACGGAGGGAGCUAGCGUUGUUCGGAAUUACUGGGCGUAAAGCGCACGUAGGCGGAUCGAUCAGUCAGGGGUGAAAUCCCAGGGCUCAACCCUGGAACUGCCUUUGAUACUGUCGAUCUGGAGUAUGGAAGAGGUGAGUGGAAUUCCGAGUGUAGAGGUGAAAUUCGUAGAUAUUCGGAGGAACACCAGUGGCGAAGGCGGCUCACUGGUCCAUUACUGACGCUGAGGUGCGAAAGCGUGGGGAGCGAACAGG